This 641-nucleotide ribosomal RNA is filed under the name uncultured archaeon. RNAcentral describes it as "bacterial SSU rRNA". It matches the Rfam family "Archaeal small subunit ribosomal RNA", at positions 279 to 922 of the family's 1478-position model. The record is from RNAcentral.
AGAGCGGGAGCCCGGAGAUGGGCACUGAGACAAGGGCCCAGGCCCUACGGGGCGCAGCAGUCGCGAAAACUUUGCAAUACACGAAAGUGUGACAGGGCUAUCCCGAGUGCCAUCCGCUGAGGAAGGCUUUUACCCAGUCUAGAAAGCUGGGGGAAUAAGGAGAGGGCAAGUCUGGUGUCAGCCGCCGCGGUAAUACCAGCUCUCCGAGUGGUGUGGAUGUUUAUUGGGCCUAAAGCAUCCGUAGCUGGCUAAGUUAGUCCCCUGUUAAAUCCAACGAAUUAAUCGUUGGAUCGCGGGGGAUACUGCUUGGCUAGGGGACGAGAGAGGCAGACGGUAUUUCCGGGGUAGGGGUGAAAUCCUAUAAUCCCGGGAAGACCACCAGUGGCGAAGGCUGUCUGCUAGAACGCGCCCGACGGUGAGGGAUGAAAGCUGGGGGAGCGAACCGGAUUAGAUACCCGGGUAGUCCCAGCUGUAAACGAUGCAGGCUAGGUGUUUGGACGGCCACGUGCCGUUCUAGUGCCGCAGGGAAGCUGUUAAGCCUGCCGCCUGGGGAGUACGAUCGCAAGAUUGAAACUUAAAGGAAUUGGCGGGGGAGCACCACAAGGGGUGAAGCUUGCGGUUUAAUUGGAUUCAACGCCGGG